RNAcentral lists this ribosomal RNA (440 nucleotides) under uncultured bacterium. RNAcentral describes it as "bacterial SSU rRNA". It matches the Rfam family "Bacterial small subunit ribosomal RNA", at positions 355 to 817 of the family's 1533-position model. The record is from RNAcentral.
UCGGGAAUUUUGGGCAAUGGGCGAAAGCCUGACCCAGCAACGCCGCGUGAAGGAUGAAGUCUUUCGGGAUGUAAACUUCGUAAAAAUAGGAAGAAUAAAUGACGGUACUAUUUAUAAGGUCCGGCUAACUACGUGCCAGCAGCCGCGGUAAUACGUAGGGACCAAGCGUUGUUCGGAUUUACUGGGCGUAAAGGGCGCGUAGGCGGCAAUUCAAGUCAUCUGUGAAAUCUCCGGGCCUAACUCGGAACGGUCAGAUGAUACUGCUUUACUAGAGUGCAGAAGGGGCAAUCGGAAUUCUUGGUGUAGCGGUGAAAUGCGUAGAUAUCAAGAGGAACACCUGAGGUGAAGACGGGUUGCUGGGCUGACACUGACGCUGAGGCGCGAAAGCCAGGGGAGCAAGCGGGAUUAGAUACCCGCGUAGUCCCUGAGCGGGGCUGGCA